Molecule: non-coding RNA, 780 nt
Filed under: Amphiops globus
Lineage: Eukaryota; Metazoa; Arthropoda; Insecta; Coleoptera; Hydrophilidae
Source: RNAcentral
AAAAAGUUUUAUUUUAGCUUAGUAAUUUAGUUUUUAUUUUUUUUAAAUGUAAAUUUUUGUGUGUAUGGGAAUUCAAUUAAAUAUUGAAUUUUAUGAAUUUAUUUGCAGUAUUUGGUUUUAUAAAUAAACGUAAGUUUGAUUUAGAAAUUUAAUUUAGUAUUAACUUAAUUUGUGCCAGCAGUUGCGGUUAUACAAAUAAUACAAUUAAGUUUUUUUGGUUAUUAGUUAAUUGAUUAAUUUUUAUGAAUAUAAGAUUUUAUUAGGUGAAAUUAUAAAAUUUUAUUAAUUAAUAUUAUAGAUUUUGAAGCUAAGAAAUUUUUAUUUAAACUAGGAUUAGAUACCCUAUUAUUUUAAAUGUUAAAUAGUUUGACCUAAUUAGUAUUAGAUAUGAUCUUUAAAAUUAAAAAAUUUGGCGGUGUCUUAGUCUUUUCAGAGGAACCUGUUCUGUAAUCGAUAAUCCACGAUUAAUUGUACUUAUUUUAUUAAUUUGUAUAUCGUCGUAGUUGAGUAUUUCUUUAGAAUUUAAUAUUCAUGAUUUAUAAUAAUAAAUUAAAUCAGAUCAAGGUGCAGUUUAUGAAUAAGUAGAAAUGGGUUACAAUAAAGUUAUUUAUAUGGAUAAGAAAUUGCAAAAUUUUUUUGAAGGUGGAUUUGAUAGUAAUAAAAUUUAUUUAAGUUUUAUGAUUUUGGCUCUAAGAUAUGCACAUAUUGCCCGUCGCUUUCAUAAUUAGUUGGAAUAAGUCGUAACAAAGUAGAUGUACUGGAAAGUGUUUCUGGAAUGAC